This 660-nucleotide ribosomal RNA is filed under the name Bacillus sp. FJAT-4548. Its description in RNAcentral is "bacterial SSU rRNA". It matches the Rfam family "Bacterial small subunit ribosomal RNA", at positions 60 to 703 of the family's 1533-position model. Lineage: Bacteria; Bacillati; Bacillota; Bacilli; Caryophanales; Bacillaceae. The record is from RNAcentral.
AGUCGAGCGAAUCGAUGGGAGCUUGCUCCCUGAGAUUAGCGGCGGACGGGUGAGUAACACGUGGGCAACCUGCCUAUAAGACUGGGAUAACUUCGGGAAACCGGAGCUAAUACCGGAUACGUUCUUUUCUCGCAUGAGAGAAGAUGGAAAGACGGUUUACGCUGUCACUUAUAGAUGGGCCCGCGGCGCAUUAGCUAGUUGGUGAGGUAAUGGCUCACCAAGGCGACGAUGCGUAGCCGACCUGAGAGGGUGAUCGGCCACACUGGGACUGAGACACGGCCCAGACUCCUACGGGAGGCAGCAGUAGGGAAUCUUCCGCAAUGGACGAAAGUCUGACGGAGCAACGCCGCGUGAACGAAGAAGGCCUUCGGGUCGUAAAGUUCUGUUGUUAGGGAAGAACAAGUACCAGAGUAACUGCUGGUACCUUGACGGUACCUAACCAGAAAGCCACGGCUAACUACGUGCCAGCAGCCGCGGUAAUACGUAGGUGGCAAGCGUUGUCCGGAAUUAUUGGGCGUAAAGCGCGCGCAGGUGGUUCCUUAAGUCUGAUGUGAAAGCCCACGGCUCAACCGUGGAGGGUCAUUGGAAACUGGGGAACUUGAGUGCAGAAGAGGAAAGUGGAAUUCCAAGUGUAGCGGUGAAAUGCGUAGAGAUUUGGAG